GGAGGAGUGGCAGAGCGGUUGAAUGCACCGGUCUUGAAAACCGGCAUGGGUUUACGCCCAUCGGGGGUUCGAAUCCCUCCUCCUCCGCCA
This 90-nucleotide transfer RNA is filed under the name Alphaproteobacteria bacterium. RNAcentral's name for it is "tRNA-Ser". It matches the Rfam family "tRNA". Rfam says of the family: Transfer RNA (tRNA) molecules are approximately 80 nucleotides in length. Their secondary structure includes four short double-helical elements and three loops (D, anti-codon, and T loops). The record is from RNAcentral. Lineage: Bacteria; Pseudomonadati; Pseudomonadota; Alphaproteobacteria. RNAcentral also lists the same sequence under 2 other names.